CACCUACGGGGGGCAGCAGUGGGGAAUAUUGCACAAUGGGGGAAACCCUGAUGCAGCGACGCCGCGUGAGUGAAGAAGUAUUUCGGUAUGUAAAGCUCUAUCAGCAGGGAAGAAAAUGACGGUACCUGACUAAGAAGCCCCGGCUAACUACGCGCCAGCAGCCGCGGUAAUACGUAGGGGGCAAGCGUUAUCCGGAUUUACUGGGGGUAAAGGGAGCGUAGGGGGCAUGGUAAGCC
Molecule: ribosomal RNA, 236 nt
Filed under: uncultured bacterium
Lineage: Bacteria
Description: partial 16S ribosomal RNA
Rfam family: Bacterial small subunit ribosomal RNA
Source: RNAcentral